RNAcentral lists this ribosomal RNA (1470 nucleotides) under metagenome. RNAcentral describes it as "bacterial SSU rRNA". It matches the Rfam family "Bacterial small subunit ribosomal RNA". The record is from RNAcentral.
AGAGUUUGAUCCUGGCUCAGGACGAACGCUGGCGGCACGCUUAACACAUGCAAGUCGAACGAGAGAAGAGGAGCUUGCUUUUCUGAUCUAGUGGCGGACGGGUGAGUAACACGUGAGCAAUCUGCCUUUCAGAGGGGGAUACCGAUUGGAAACGAUCGUUAAUACCGCAUAACAUAAUUGAACCGCAUGAUUUGAUUAUCAAAGAUUUAUCGCUGAAAGAUGAGCUCGCGUCUGAUUAGCUAGUUGGUAAGGUAACGGCUUACCAAGGCGACGAUCAGUAGCCGGACUGAGAGGUUGAUCGGCCACAUUGGGACUGAGACACGGCCCAGACUCCUACGGGAGGCAGCAGUGGGGAAUAUUGCACAAUGGAGGAAACUCUGAUGCAGCGAUGCCGCGUGAGGGAAGAAGGUUUUAGGAUUGUAAACCUCUGUCUUCAGGGACGAAAAAAGACGGUACCUGAGGAGGAAGCUCCGGCUAACUACGUGCCAGCAGCCGCGGUAAUACGUAGGGAGCGAGCGUUGUCCGGAAUUACUGGGUGUAAAGGGAGCGUAGGCGGGAUCGCAAGUCAGAUGUGAAAACUAUGGGCUUAACCCAUAAACUGCAUUUGAAACUGUGGUUCUUGAGUGAAGUAGAGGUAAGCGGAAUUCCUAGUGUAGCGGUGAAAUGCGUAGAUAUUAGGAGGAACAUCAGUGGCGAAGGCGGCUUACUGGGCUUUAACUGACGCUGAGGCUCGAAAGCGUGGGGAGCAAACAGGAUUAGAUACCCUGGUAGUCCACGCCGUAAACGAUGAUUACUAGGUGUGGGGGGACUGACCCCUUCCGUGCCGCAGCAAACGCAAUAAGUAAUCCACCUGGGGAGUACGACCGCAAGGUUGAAACUCAAAGGAAUUGACGGGGGCCCGCACAAGCAGUGGAGUAUGUGGAUUAAUUCGAAGCAACGCGAAGAACCUUACCAGGUCUUGACAUCGUAUGCAUAGCUCAGAGAUGAGUGAAAUCUCUUCGGAGACAUAUAGACAGGUGGUGCAUGGUCGUCGUCAGCUCGUGUCGUGAGAUGUUGGGUUAAGUCCCGCAACGAGCGCAACCCUUACUGUUAGUUGCUACGCAAGAGCACUCUAGCAGGACUGCCGUUGACAAAACGGAGGAAGGUGGGGAUGACGUCAAAUCAUCAUGCCCCUUAUGACCUGGGCCUCACACGUACUACAAUGGCUGUCAACAGAGGGAAGCAAAGCCGCGAGGUGGAGCGAACCCCUAAAAGCAGUCUUAGUUCGGAUUGUAGGCUGCAACCCGCCUACAUGAAGUCGGAAUUGCUAGUAAUCGCAAAUCAGCAUGCUGCGGUGAAUACGUUCCCGGGCCUUGUACACACCGCCCGUCACGCCAUGGGAGUCGGUAACACCCGAAGCCUGUAGUCUAACCGCAAGGAGGACGCAGUCGAAGGUGGGAUUGAUGACUGGGGUGAAGUCGUAACAAGGUA